Molecule: ribosomal RNA, 198 nt
Filed under: uncultured bacterium
Lineage: Bacteria
Description: partial 16S ribosomal RNA
Rfam family: Bacterial small subunit ribosomal RNA
Source: RNAcentral
ACGCUCGACACCUACGGAGGCGGCAGUCGGGAAUAUUGCGCAAUGGAGGAAACUCUGACGCAGUGACGCCGCGUAUAGGAAGAAGGUCUUCGGAUUGUAAACUAUUGUCGUUAGGGAAGAAAAAGGACAGUACCUAAGGAGGAAGCUCCGGCUAACUACGUGCAAGCAGCCGCGGUAAUCUGAGCGGGCUGGCAAGGC